GAUUAAGUUAUUAAGGGCGCACGGUGGAUGCCUUGGCACUAGAAGCCGACGAAGGACGUUACUAACGACGAUAUGCUUUGGGGAGCUGUAAGUAAGCUUUGAUCCAGAGAUUUCCGAAUGGGGAAACCCAGCACGAGUUAUGUCGUGUUAUCGAUAUGUGAAUACAUAGCAUAUCUGAAGGCAGACGCGGAGAACUGAAACAUCUUAGUACCCGCAGGAAGAGAAAGAAAAAUCGAUUCCCUGAGUAGCGGCGAGCGAAACGGGAAGAGCCCAAACCAACGAGCUUGCUUGUUGGGGUUGUAGGACACUCUAUACGGAGUUACAAAGGACGACAUUAGACGAAUCAUCUGGAAAGAUGAAUCAAAGAAGGUAAUAAUCCUGUAGUCGAAAAUGUUGUCUCUCUUGAGUGGAUCCUGAGUACGGCGGAGCACGUGAAAUUCCGUCGGAAUCUGGGAGGACCAUCUCCCAAGGCUAAAUACUCUCUAGUGACCGAUAGUGAACCAGUACCGUGAGGGAAAGGUGAAAAGCACCCCGGAAGGGGAGUGAAAUAGAACCUGAAACCGUGUGCUUACAAGUAGUCAGAGCCCGUUAAUGGGUGAUGGCGUGCCUUUUGUAGAAUGAACCGGCGAGUUACGAUUUGAUGCAAGGUUAAGCAGUAAAUGUGGAGCCGUAGCGAAAGCGAGUCUGAAUAGGGCGUUUAGUAUUUGGUCGUAGACCCGAAACCAGGUGAUCUACCCUUGGUCAGGUUGAAGUUCAGGUAACACUGAAUGGAGGACCGAACCGACUUACGUUGAAAAGUGAGCGGAUGAACUGAGGGUAGCGGAGAAAUUCCAAUCGAACCUGGAGAUAGCUGGUUCUCUCCGAAAUAGCUUUAGGGCUAGCCUCAAGUGAUGAUUAUUGGAGGUAGAGCACU
RNAcentral lists this ribosomal RNA (913 nucleotides) under Pseudomonas nunensis. Its description in RNAcentral is "partial 23S ribosomal RNA". It matches the Rfam family "Bacterial large subunit ribosomal RNA", at positions 1 to 911 of the family's 2925-position model. The record is from RNAcentral. Lineage: Bacteria; Pseudomonadati; Pseudomonadota; Gammaproteobacteria; Pseudomonadales; Pseudomonadaceae.